CCCAUGGCAGAACGAUGAUAUUGUUGGUAGGGACAUCUGAGUAAAUGUGAAGAAAAAACCAACACACUGACUCCAUGGG
Molecule: small nucleolar RNA, 79 nt
Filed under: Kryptolebias marmoratus (mangrove rivulus)
Lineage: Eukaryota; Metazoa; Chordata; Actinopteri; Cyprinodontiformes; Rivulidae
Description: Small nucleolar RNA SNORD74 (ENSKMAG00000022272.1)
Source: RNAcentral